GAUAGGGUGGUGUAGUGGUUUGAGCAUUGGACUGCGACUCUGGAGACUAGGGUUCAAAUUCCCACUCAGCCA
This is a non-coding RNA of Phrynosoma platyrhinos (Desert horned lizard), 72 nucleotides long. Lineage: Eukaryota; Metazoa; Chordata; Lepidosauria; Squamata; Phrynosomatidae. The record is from the annotation of a GenBank genome assembly.